CCUACGGGAGGUAGCAGUGAGGAAUAUUGGUCAAUGGACGAGAGUCUGAACCAGCCAAGUAGCGUGAAGGAUGACUGCCCUAUGGGUUGUAAACUUCUUUUAUAUGGGAAUAAAAUGUUCCACGUGUGGGAUUUUGUAUGUACCAUAUGAAUAAGGAUCGGCUAACUCCGUGCCAGCAGCCGCGGUAAUACGGAGGAUCCGAGCGUUAUCCGGAUUUAUUGGGUUUAAAGGGAGCGUAGGUGGAGUGUUAAGUCAGUUGUGAAAGUUUGCGGCUCAACCGUAAAAUUGCAGUUGAAACUGGCAGUCUUGAGUACAGUAGAGGUGGGCGGAAUUCGUGGUGUAGCGGUGAAAUGCUUAGAUAUCACGAAGAACUCCGAUUGCGAAGGCAGUUCACUGGACUGCAACUGACACUGAGGCUCGAAAGUGUGGGUAUCAAACAGGAUUAGAUACCCCAGUAGUC
RNAcentral lists this ribosomal RNA (460 nucleotides) under uncultured bacterium. RNAcentral's name for it is "partial 16S ribosomal RNA". It matches the Rfam family "Bacterial small subunit ribosomal RNA", at positions 338 to 795 of the family's 1533-position model. The record is from RNAcentral.